This 759-nucleotide ribosomal RNA is filed under the name uncultured Enterobacteriaceae bacterium. Its description in RNAcentral is "bacterial SSU rRNA". It matches the Rfam family "Bacterial small subunit ribosomal RNA", at positions 28 to 776 of the family's 1533-position model. Lineage: Bacteria; Pseudomonadati; Pseudomonadota; Gammaproteobacteria; Enterobacterales; Enterobacteriaceae. The record is from RNAcentral.
AUUGAACGCUGGCGGCAGGCCUAACACAUGCAAGUCGAGCGGUAGCACAGGAGAGCUUGCUCUCUGGGUGACGAGCGGCGGACGGGUGAGUAAUGUCUGGGAAACUGCCUGAUGGAGGGGGAUAACUACUGGAAACGGUAGCUAAUACCGCAUAACGUCUUCGGACCAAAGUGGGGGACCUUCGGGCCUCACGCCAUCAGAUGUGCCCAGAUGGGAUUAGCUAGUAGGUGGGGUAAUGGCUCACCUAGGCGACGAUCCCUAGCUGGUCUGAGAGGAUGACCAGCCACACUGGAACUGAGACACGGUCCAGACUCCUACGGGAGGCAGCAGUGGGGAAUAUUGCACAAUGGGCGCAAGCCUGAUGCAGCCAUGCCGCGUGUGUGAAGAAGGCCUUCGGGUUGUAAAGCACUUUCAGCGAGGAGGAAGGGUUCAGUGUUAAUAGCACUGUUCAUUGACGUUACUCGCAGAAGAAGCACCGGCUAACUCCGUGCCAGCAGCCGCGGUAAUACGGAGGGUGCAAGCGUUAAUCGGAAUUACUGGGCGUAAAGCGCACGCAGGCGGUUUGUUAAGUCAGAUGUGAAAUCCCCGCGCUUAACGUGGGAACUGCAUUUGAAACUGGCAAGCUAGAGUCUUGUAGAGGGGGGUAGAAUUCCAGGUGUAGCGGUGAAAUGCGUAGAGAUCUGGAGGAAUACCGGUGGCGAAGGCGGCCCCCUGGACAAAGACUGACGCUCAGGUGCGAAAGCGUGGGGAGCAAACAGG